RNAcentral lists this ribosomal RNA (460 nucleotides) under uncultured Brevundimonas sp. Its description in RNAcentral is "bacterial SSU rRNA". It matches the Rfam family "Bacterial small subunit ribosomal RNA", at positions 39 to 522 of the family's 1533-position model. Lineage: Bacteria; Pseudomonadati; Pseudomonadota; Alphaproteobacteria; Caulobacterales; Caulobacteraceae. The record is from RNAcentral.
GGGGGGGGCCUUACCAUGCCAGUCGGACGGGCUCUUCGGAGCUAGUGGCGGACGGGUGAGUAACACGUGGGAACGUGCCUUUAGGUUCGGAAUAAGCCCGGGAAACUGGGUCUAAUACCGAAUGUGCCCUUGGGGGGAAAGAUUUAUCGCCUUUAGAGCGGCCCGCGUCUGAUUAGCUAGUUGGUGAGGUAAUGGCCCACCAAGGCUCCGAUCGGUAGCUGGUCUGAGAGGACGAUCAGCCACACUGGGACUGAGACACGGCCCAGACUCCUACGGGAGGCAGCAGUGGGGAAUCUUGCGCAAUGGGCGAAAGCCUGACGCAGCGACGCCGCGUGAGGGAGGAAGGCCUUCGGGUUGUAAACCUCUUUCAGGAGGGACGAAGCCACUCGGGUGAACAGCCCAGAGGGUGACGGUACCUCCAGAAGAAGCCCCGGCUAACUACGUGCCAGCAGCCGCGGUA